GCGUUUCAAGUGUACCCGACACAUGCUAUGGUGUCAGGGGCGCCGCGGGCGGGCGUAUUUCGGCGGGUUUGUGAGAGGCAUCUGGGUAAACGCCUCGCUGUGCCGGGGUCCUCUCACGGCCGCCUUCCCGCCCCGAGGGAGCCGAGCCGGGCCGAAUUAUUCCGAAGAGCCGAGUGUGGGCGAAGACAGCCGAGUUGAGCCGAAGAGCCGAGUGUGGCCGAAAAGAGCCGAGAUGAGCCGAAGAGACGAGUUUAGCCGACAACAGCCGACUUGAGACGAAGAGCCGAGUGUAGCCGACAACAGCCGACUUGAGACGAAGAGCCGAGUGUAGCCGAACACAGCCGACUUGAGACGAAGAGCCGAGUGUAGCCGAGUGUAACCGGGAGCCGAGUGUAGCCGACAUUGGCCGCGUUUAGACAAAGAGCCGAAUAUGACCGAGUUCAGCCCAACCGGGCCGAGUUCAGCCGAAGAGCCGGAAAAGCCGAAUUUAGACGAAAAGCCGAACCGAAACGAUUUUAGACCUAAGCCGAACCAAGCCUAAUUUAGCCGAGUUUAUUUAAACGGAACCGAACGACGCCGCAGCGCUCUGCCUGCAGAGCGCCGGUGCAGACGGCAGGGGGCGGUGUAUAAAGGUGCUCAGGAAGCAUGCGUCCCUUAGAGUCCCACGGAAAGGUUCUCAGUGCGCUCUCUAUCAAGAAUACGUUUAAUAAGUGUUGGAAGUUAGUAUUUUGGGAAAGAAAUGGCAGUUCCACAGAACAUUCCAUUGAACAGAGGCUCUGGGAACGAUUCAUGUUUGCUAUGAGUCUUGAUAAAUGGGAGAAGAGCCCAAGAGAAAUUUUUCAUCCCUUGAUAUAAAAGGGAUCGGUGAAUUUUAACUUUGGAGUCCUCUAUGCUAAGGAUGCUCAGCUUACAGUAUUUGCUGCAGCUCUGCUUACCCAAGCUUUGGGUUCCUUCUGUCCCACUGGGAGUUGCCCAAUUUGGUUGCAUCUGGUGAAAUUCACCCUGAGACCUUACAGAACCAGCUCCAACUACGUGAGAGCCAUUUGCAGUUCUCUCCAGACGCCUGGAGAACGGGCGACGUUUCUGAGGAUCCGGCGAGCGUGCUUCUAUCAAAACUCAGUCUGUGAAAUUCCUGGGGAAAACCCUUCUGUGUCCUGAAGGGUUCAAACUCUGGUGAGGAUCCAGUUAUCAGGUGCUCGCCUGGAUGGUUCCAGCUCCCAAAGGGAAAGACUCUCGUAUCCUUGUCGUCGGGCUCGGUGCUGCCCAAGAAGAUACAGAGACUAAAAAAAUCAUAAGAAGCAAAAUAUGACUGCAGGGAAAAGAAGCUGGAGAGAACAGAAGACUCAUCACGGCGGGACAGCGUGAGGACUGAAAGUGUAAGAAGAUGUGGAGGGAAACAGAGAAUCUGACAGGAGCAGCGAACGCACGAGUGCACGAAUUUUGCUUCUUGCUUGGAUGUAAACUCAGGAGUUGAGAGGAAUUUGGGAGUGAGAAGGGACAUUUUAGAAGGAGAAGAAGAAAAAGAAGUUGUUGCUACAGUCCUGGCAAAAGAUUUUGUUCUAGCUAAUAAAAGAAGUUAGCUUAAAAAACAAAAAGGAAAAAAUGUAGUGGUUUUUUUUUUUUUUCCUUCACUCUUAUAUUCAUUGGUGGUAUAUGGUGUGUUGUUUUAUUUCUUGGUAUUAUUAAGUCUGUGUAAAUUGUUUUUUGAGUGAAGCUGACUUUCUGGAUGGGUUGGUUUGUAUUUGAGGCAGGAUUAAUUUCAAUAGGGUUCUUUCAUAGAUUUCUGAUGGGUAAUACUGGGAUUUUGGUUUUGUUUACUGUAUGUAUAAACAUAGAGCUUUGGUAGGGCCAGCUGGGCUGCUGGAGAUUUGGGUGUGAAUUUAUUAGAUGGCUUUUGUUAAAUGCAGUUUUUAAUUUUUGAAAUGUUUUUCAAUGUAGUGGUUUUAAGGUGGUUUUUAAGAAUUCAUUGUAUUGUUUUAUCUUGUUUGUAGUUGGUGUAUGAUAAGGGAUGUGGUGUGACUUUUUGAACAUUAUGGUUUUGGUGUUCCUAAGUUCUGAUUUCUUUGUGGUUCAAUAGUUUUUUUUAUUUUUAUUUUUUGGGACAGGGGCAUUUAUAUGGUGGGAUUUUAUAGGCAAUAUGUUUUUUAAUUUAGGUAGUGAUAUUUUUUAGUAUUUUAAUGGUUUAGGUUUUUUAUUUUCAUGGUUUUUAUUUUUUGUUUUAAUUUUUUCAAAUAACUUUGAUAGAUUAUAGGUUAUUAUUUGUGCAUUAGCCUAAAGGUAGAGCUUUGGGGACUUUUUUUAGUAAUGUUUAGGAUCAGUUGUACAGUUUUGAGUCUAGUGAGUUGCUUUGCUUGAAUUUUUAUUGUGUGUUUGUUUUUAUUAGCAGUUGUGUCAUUUUCAAGGUGUGUUUGAGUUUUUUGGGGUUUUUGAGAUACUGGUUUAGGAGGAAGUUUAUGAUGAGCAUGUGCGGAGGUUUCGGGCUGCUUUAUAGUGGGAUUUAAAAUUUAUUUACAGUUAGGUUUAUUUGAGUUUUUAUUAGGGUUCAGUGUUGUGGGAUGUUUGUUCCGUUAGUAAUAGAAACAGGUUUUGUUUUGCUGUGCUGCGAUGGGAUGGGCGUGUGCUGCGUGCCGGCGCUGACAAAGGUACAGUAUUGUUGUGGCUCUGGUGUGUCGGGUUAAUGAACUGACAUGGUUUAAUAUAGAGAUGAAAACAGAAAUAAAUAUACAUUUAAAAAUAAAUCUAACAUUAGAGUGGUAAACAUAAAUAUAGAUAACAGAUACAUACAUAGAACUAUAAUAUAUGGUAUAUAAUUGUAACAUAUCAUACAGAUAAAUGAUAGUCUAUUUUAUAUAUAUAUAUAUAUACAAAAAGAUAUAUAAAUAUAGAUUGUAAAUAUAAAAAUAUUUAAAUAGAGUUAAAGUAAAUUGGGGGGUGUUAUUAGGUUAUAGUCUGGGGUUUUUAAAUGAUAG
Long non-coding RNA from Melospiza melodia melodia, 2969 nucleotides. RefSeq lists it as uncharacterized. The record is from RefSeq and is a predicted model, not a curated record. The transcript has 8 exons. Lineage: Eukaryota; Metazoa; Chordata; Aves; Passeriformes; Passerellidae.